Molecule: ribosomal RNA, 1142 nt
Filed under: Sphingobacterium sp.
Lineage: Bacteria; Pseudomonadati; Bacteroidota; Sphingobacteriia; Sphingobacteriales; Sphingobacteriaceae
Description: bacterial SSU rRNA
Rfam family: Bacterial small subunit ribosomal RNA
Source: RNAcentral
GGAAAAAUGGGCAGUCUAUACAUGCAGUCGGACGGGAUUGCAGUGCAGCUUGCUGUACUGCAUGAGAGUGGCGCACGGGUGCGUAACGCGUGAGCAACCUGCCCAUAUCAGGGGGAUAGCCCGGAGAAAUCCGGAUUAACACCGCAUAACACAGUAUUUCCGCAUGGAUGUGCUGUUAAAUAUUUAUAGGAUAUGGAUGGGCUCGCGUGACAUUAGCUAGUUGGCGGGGUAACGGCCCACCAAGGCGACGAUGUCUAGGGGCUCUGAGAGGAGAAUCCCCCACACUGGUACUGAGACACGGACCAGACUCCUACGGGAGGCAGCAGUAAGGAAUAUUGGUCAAUGGGCGCAAGCCUGAACCAGCCAUGCCGCGUGCAGGAUGACUGCCCUAUGGGUUGUAAACUGCUUUUAUCCGGGAAUAACCCCCUCUACGUGUAGAGGGCUGAAUGUACCGGAAGAAUAAGGAUCGGCUAACUCCGUGCCAGCAGCCGCGGUAAUACGGAGGAUCCGAGCGUUAUCCGGAUUUAUUGGGUUUAAAGGGUGCGUAGGCGGCCUGUUAAGUCAGGAGUGAAAGACGGCAGCUCAACUGUCGCAGUGCUCUUGAUACUGACGGGCUUGAAUGCCGUUGAAGAUGGCGGAAUGAGACAAGUAGCGGUGAAAUGCAUAGAUAUGUCUCAGACCCCGAUUGCGAAGGCAGCUGUCUAAGCGGUAAUUGACGCUGAUGCACGAAAGCGUGGGGAUCGAACAGGAUUAGAUACCCUGGUAGUCCACGCCCCUAAACGAUGAUGACUCGAUGUUAGCGAUAUACAGUUAGCGUCCAAGCGAAAGCGUUAAGUCAUCCACCUGGGGGAGUACGCCCCGGCAAGGGUGAAACUCAAGGAAUGACGGGGGCCCGCCACAGCGGAGGGAGCAUGUGGUUAAUUCGAUGAAUACGCGAGAACUACUCGGCUGAAGUACUGAGCAUCCGAGACGAUGCGUCUCGGGACAGAAACUAGUGCUGCAUGGCUGUCGUCAGCUCUGCCGUGAAGGUGUUGGGCUAAGUUCCCGCACCGAGCGCAACCUAUGUUUAGUGGCAGCAUGCUAAUUGUGGGAACUCUACCAACUGCUGCAGCCAGUUUAGAAAGACGGAACGAGACCCUCCA